CUACGGGACGCACCAGUGGGGAAUAUUGCACAAUGGAGGAAACUCUGAUGCAGCAACGCCGCGUGGAGGAUGACACUUUUCGGAGCGUAAACUCCUUUUAUAUAGGAAGAAGAUGACGGUACUAUAUGAAUAAGCGCCGGCUAACUCCGUGCGCAGCAGCCGCGGUAAUACGGAGGGCGCAAGCGUUACUCGGAAUCACUGGGCGUAAAGAGCGUGUAGGCGGAUUAAAAAGUCAGAGGUGAAAUCCUAUAGCUUAACUAUAGAACUGCUUCUGAAACUCUUAAUAUAGAAUAUGGGAGAGGUAGAUGGAAUUUCUGGUGUAGGGGUAAAAUCCGUAGAGAUCAGAAGGAAUACCGAUUGCGAAGGCGAUCUACUAGAACAUUAUUGACGCUGAGACGCGAAAGCGUGGGGAGCAAACAGGAUUAGAUACCCCGGUAGUC
RNAcentral lists this ribosomal RNA (440 nucleotides) under uncultured bacterium. RNAcentral describes it as "partial 16S ribosomal RNA". It matches the Rfam family "Bacterial small subunit ribosomal RNA", at positions 339 to 795 of the family's 1533-position model. The record is from RNAcentral.